CCCGGCGAGCGAAACGGGAAGAGCCCAAACCACUGAGCUUGCUCAGUGGGGUUGUAGGACUGAACUUUGGAGUUACCAAAGAAUCAGGUAGUCGAAGUGGCUGGGAAGCCACACCAGAGAUGGUGAUAGUCCAGUAGACGAAACCUGGUUCUCUCCGUUCAGGAUCCUGAGUACGGCGGGACACGUGAAACCCCGUCGGAAUCCGCGAGGACCAUCUCGCAAGGCUAAAUACUCCCUAGUGACCGAUAGUGAACCAGUACCGUGAGGGAAAGGUGAAAAGCACCCCGGGAGGGGAGUGAAAUAGUUCCUGAAACCGUGCGCUUACAAUCCGUCGGAGCCUUCUUUGUGGGGUGACGGCGUGCCUAUCGAAAAAUGAGUCUGCGAGUCAGUGGUAUGUGGCGAGGCUAACCCGGGUGGGGGAGCCGUAGCGAAAGCGAGUCUGAAUAGGGCGAGCAGUUACUUGACGUAGACCCGAAACCAAGUGACCUACCCAUGUCCAGGUUGAAGGCUAGGUAAAACUGGCUGGAGGACCGAACCCACGUAAGUUAAAAAUUGCGGGGAUGAGGUGUGGGUAGCGGUGAAAUUCCAAACGAACUUGGAGAUAGCUGGUUCUCUCCGAAAUAGCUUUAGGGCUAGCCUCGCGAGAGAGGAUAAUGGAGGUAGAGCACUGUUUGGACUAGGGGCCCGUCAGGGGUUACUGAAUCCAGAUAAACUCCGAAUUCCAUAUAUCUAUACGCGGGAGUCAGACUGCGAGUGAUAAGAUCCGUAGUCGAAAGGGAAACAGCCCAGAUCACCAGUUAAGGUCCCCAAAUCUAUGCUAAGUGGAAAAGGAUGUGGAGUUGCGUAGACAACUAGGACGUUGGCUUAGAAGCAGCCAUCAUUCAAAGAGUGCGUAAUAGCUCACUAGUCGAGUGGCGCUGCGCCGAAAAUUUACCGGGGCUAAGCAUAGUACCGAAACUGUGGAUGCAGGUAACUGCGUGGUAGGAGAGCGUUCUAAAGGCGGAGAAGGCAGAUCGAGAGGACUGUUGGAGCGCUUAGAAGUGAGAAUGCCGGUAUGAGUAGCGAAAGAUAGGUGAGAAUCCUAUCCGCCGAAAGACUAAGGUUUCCUGGGGCAGGCUCGUCCGCCCAGGGUAAGUCGGGACCUAAGGUAAGGCCGAGAGGCGUAGCCGAUGGACAACAGGUUGAGAUUCCUGUACUAUUCGUAAUCGUUAAGAGCAAUGGAGGGACGCAGUAGGCUAAUGGCGCAUGGAGAUGGAAUCAUGUGUAAGCGUUAAGGGAGGAUACGAGUCAAAUGCUUGUAGCCAAUUUUGAGACGUGAUGCGGAGCGAAAUAAAGUAGCGAAGGUCAUGAUGUCACACUGCCGAGAAAAGCUUCUAGCCAGAGAGAUAUUACCCGUACCGCAAACCGACACAGGUAGUCGAGGAGAGAAUCCUCAGGUGAGCGAGAGAACUCUCGUUAAGGAACUCGGCAAAAUGACCCCGUAACUUCGGGAGAAGGGGUGCUGAUCUCCGGAUCAGCCGCAGUGAAUAGGCCCAAACAACUGUUUAUCAAAAACACAGGUAUCUGCAAAAUCGUAAGAUGACGUAUAGGUGCUGACACCUGCCCGGUGCUGGAAGGUUAAGAGGAGAGCUUAGCGUAAGCGAAGGUUUGAAUUGAAGCCCCAGUAAACGGCGGCCGUAACAAUAACGGUCCUAAGGUAGCGAAAUUCCUUGUCGGGUAAGUUCC
Molecule: ribosomal RNA, 1725 nt
Filed under: Shewanella sp. DW31
Lineage: Bacteria; Pseudomonadati; Pseudomonadota; Gammaproteobacteria; Alteromonadales; Shewanellaceae
Description: partial 23S ribosomal RNA
Rfam family: Bacterial large subunit ribosomal RNA
Source: RNAcentral